Molecule: ribosomal RNA, 474 nt
Filed under: uncultured bacterium
Lineage: Bacteria
Description: bacterial SSU rRNA
Rfam family: Bacterial small subunit ribosomal RNA
Source: RNAcentral
UGAGUUUGAUCAUGGCUGCGACUAAACGCCGGCGGCAGGCUUAACACAUGCAAGUCAAGCGGUAACAGGGGUGCUUGCACCCGCUGAUCAGCGGCGAAAGGGUGAGUAACGCGUAGGCAUUGCCUCACAGAGGGGGAUAGCCCGGGGAAACUCGGAUUAAUACCGCAUACGCCCUACGGGGGAAAGCAGGGGAUCUUCGGACCUUGCGCUAUCAGAUGAGCCUACGUUGGAUCAGCUAGUUGGUAGGGUAAAGGCCUACCAAGGCGACGAUCCGUAGCUGGUCUGAGAGGAUUGAUCAGCCACAUCUGGGAGAUGAGACACGGCCCAGACUCCUACGGGAGGCAGCAGUGGGGAAUAUUGGACAAUGGGGGCAACCCUGAUCCAGCCAUGCCGCGUGUGUGAAGAAGGCCUUCGGGUUGUAAAGCACUUUCAGUAGGGAGGAAAGCUCGGUUGCUAAUAUCGGCCGGGAUGACG